RNAcentral lists this small nucleolar RNA (137 nucleotides) under Neolecta irregularis DAH-3. RNAcentral describes it as "Small nucleolar RNA snR80". It matches the Rfam family "Small nucleolar RNA snR80". Lineage: Eukaryota; Fungi; Ascomycota; Neolectomycetes; Neolectales; Neolectaceae. The record is from Rfam by way of RNAcentral.
AACUGUUUGCUAAACACUCAGCACCUCGAAGCUUUCCUUGAGGCGCUAUUUUACACGCAAACUAGAUCAACGUACGAAUUACUCAUCGUGAUAUCCCUAUCCCUGUGGAUAUGAUGGUCCAAUUCAGUUGUAUACAU